AUCUUUGCGCUUGGGGCAAUGACGCAGCUAACGAGGUUCUAACCGAGGUGCGUCUAUUGCUGGUUGAAAAUUAUUUCCAAACCCCUUCUUAGGCCUGAGUUCUGCUUAGGUCUUCGAGAAUUUCUGGAAGUGCUCCCUUUGGGGUAAAGCC
Molecule: small nuclear RNA, 151 nt
Filed under: Trifolium pratense (red clover)
Lineage: Eukaryota; Viridiplantae; Streptophyta; Magnoliopsida; Fabales; Fabaceae
Description: snRNA U4
Rfam family: U4 spliceosomal RNA
About the family: U4 small nuclear RNA (U4 snRNA) is a component of the major U2-dependent spliceosome.
Source: RNAcentral